GAACAGGAACAGGAACAGGAACAGGGCAAUGCUGGGGAACACGUGGCUUCCACAAUUCCCCACGGAAAAGAUGGGGAAAAUCACCGGAAUGGGAGCGUGGAAUUGGCUCUAGGAUGAGCUGUACUUCCAGAAACAGCCCCGAGGGUGCUGUGGAAGCCGGAGCUCCUCGGGGAAUGGGAGAUGAACCAUUCCAGGGGCUCAGGCACUUAUUAAAACAUGUAAUAAAAAUGGGAAGAUUGGUCCUCAAACACUUCCACCUUGGCAAA
Non-coding RNA from Lonchura striata (white-rumped munia), 266 nucleotides. The record is from RefSeq and is a predicted model, not a curated record. Lineage: Eukaryota; Metazoa; Chordata; Aves; Passeriformes; Estrildidae.